CCCGGGUGAGCCGUCAAGCAUACAAGCCAGCACCUCACUACGCUCACCCGGGUGAGCCGUCAAGCAUACAAGCCAGCACCUCACUACGCUCACCCGGGGUUCACAAUCAUUUCUUAACAACUGUAGAAAGGUGAAGGCAGUACUAAGUACAAUACGACUAUGGUUUACAAGUAUUGAUAUUGAUGCUUAUAUGAGAGUGGCGACUAGCGAAGACGCGGGGCCAGGAGCUAUGGAUCGACCCCUGCAACCACAUGCAGGGAAUACAGGUUUAGGAACCUCAACCACUACCACUCCCACACCCCUACCACUCCCACACCCCUACAACUCACCCCAACACUUCAAGCUGCAGCUGCAGCUGCACUCCGCACUGCCACUCUUCACUGAGAAAAAAUUAGCAAAGAAAAUAGAUGAAAGGAAAAAACAGAUCUCGAAAAGCUUAUCUGGUAGUGGUGGGAUCACCAGCCAGCCUCCCGGAUCACCAGCCAGCCUCCCAAGAGAUCACCAGCCAGUCUCCCAAGGGAUCACCAGCCAGCCUCCCAAGGGAUCACCAGCCAGCCUCCUAAGGGAGUGAGAGAACAACCAUACACCACUUACGCCUAGUGUGAAACAGAGGCCGGAGCCAGGAGCUGUGACUCGACCCCUGCAACCACAAAUACGUGAGAACAGUCAAGUGUAUCUUGAAUGCAGGUCAAAGUUUAUAAGUUAUAUCUGGCGUCUAACAUAACCGUGAGAGAGGGAGAAAUGCUGCCAGUGUGUGAAGCAUUUAACAGCUUUCCACUGUACACUCAAAGUAUGAUGGAACAGUGGCACUCAACCUCUCAAAGGUUUGAUCACAUCAUCUUCAUUUCACUACACCUGCUGCCUCUUUGGCUGGAGAAGCCUACUACGUAGUCGUAGCGUUUCAACAAUAAAGUUACCCAACUGCUGCACAUGUG
Long non-coding RNA from Cherax quadricarinatus, 935 nucleotides. RefSeq lists it as uncharacterized. The record is from RefSeq and is a predicted model, not a curated record. Lineage: Eukaryota; Metazoa; Arthropoda; Malacostraca; Decapoda; Parastacidae.